AUUAGAGUUUGAUCCUGGCUCAGAACGAACGUUAGCGGUGUGGAUUAGGCAUGCAAGUCGCGCGCGAAAGCCUUCGGGCGAGUAAAGCGGCGAAAGGGUGAGUAACACGUAACCAACGUACCCUUCAGAUCGGGAUAACCACUGGAAACGGUGGAUAAUACCGAAUGGUCCCCCCGGAGACAUCUCCGGGACGGUAAACGGUGGCUUCGGCUGCUGCUGAGGGAGCGGGUUGCGGCCUAUCAGCUUGUUGGUGGGGUAACGGCCUACCAAGGCUACGACGGGUAGCGGGUCUGAGAGGAUGAUCCGUCACACUGGGACUGAGACACUGCCCAGACUCCUACGGGAGGCUGCAGUCGAGAAUCUUCCGCAAUGGGCGAAAGCCUGACGGAGCGACACCGCGUGCAGGAUGAAGGCCUUCGGGUUGUAAACUGCUGUCACGCAAUAGGAAUCGUUUGUCGUUAAUAGCGGCAAGCUUGACCACAGCGAGAGGAAGAGCCGGCUAACUCCGUGCCAGCAGCCGCGGUAAGACGGAGGGCUCUAACGUUGUUCGGAAUCACUGGGCAUAAAGCGCACGUAGGCGGCCUGUUAAGUCUGAUGUGAAAGCCCCCGGCUCAACCGGGGAACUGCAUCGGAAACUGGCAGGCUCGAGGACGGCAGGGGUAAGUGGAACUCCAGGUGGAACGGUGAAAUGUGUAGAUAUCUGGAGGAACACCGGUGGCGAAAGCGGCUUACUGGGCCGUCUCUGACGCUGAGGUGCGAAAGCUAGGGUAGCGAACGGGAUUAGAUACCCCGGUAGUCCUAGCCGUAAACGAUGGGCACUAGGCAAGGGGGGGGUUGGUUUCCCCUGCCGUGGCUAAUGUGUUAAGUGCCCCGCCUGGGGAGUACGGUCGCAAGGCUAAAACUCAAAGGAAUUGACGGGGGCUCACACAAGCGGUGGAGCAUGUUGCUUAAUUCGAUGCAACGCGAAGAACCUUAUCCUGGGCUUGACAUGCUUGGAUGCCCAUCUGGAAACAGAGUAGGCUGCCCUUCGGGGUGAAACUUGCACAGGUGCUGCAUGGCUGUCGUCAGCUCGUGUCGUGAGAUGUUGGGUUAAGUCCCGUAACGAGCGAAACCCUUAUCGUUAGUUGCCAGCGCGUCAUGGCGGGGACUCUAGCGAGACUGCCGGUGUGAAACCGGAGGAAGGUGGGGAUGACGUCAAGUCCUCAUGGCCUUUAUGCCCAGGGCUGCAAACGUGCUACAAUGGCUGGUACAAACCGACGCGAGACCGCGAGGUGGAGCAAAUCGGAAAAAGCCAGCCCCAGUUCGGAUUGGAGUCUGCAACUCGACUCCAUGAAGUUGGAAUCGCUAGUAAUCGCAGAUCAGCUACGCUGCGGUGAAUGUGUUCCUGAGCCUUGUACACACCGCCCGU
This 1408-nucleotide ribosomal RNA is filed under the name uncultured prokaryote. Its description in RNAcentral is "partial 16S ribosomal RNA". It matches the Rfam family "Bacterial small subunit ribosomal RNA". The record is from RNAcentral.